GGGGGUCUAGCUCAGUGGUAGAGCGCUCGCUUCGCGUGUGAGAAGUCGCGGGUUCAAACCCCGAAACCUCCA
Molecule: transfer RNA, 72 nt
Filed under: Dermacentor andersoni
Lineage: Eukaryota; Metazoa; Arthropoda; Arachnida; Ixodida; Ixodidae
Description: transfer RNA alanine (anticodon CGC)
Rfam family: tRNA
About the family: Transfer RNA (tRNA) molecules are approximately 80 nucleotides in length. Their secondary structure includes four short double-helical elements and three loops (D, anti-codon, and T loops).
Source: RNAcentral